UGUAUUCAGUUUUCAUUAUAUGAAGAAAAUGAGAGCCUGCGCCACCAUCAAAGUAAAAAAAACCCUUUAGGAAUGAACGAUAAUGGAUCGGACAAACACAUGAUCGAAAUUGGCAGUAAAAAUCUUAUUUCGAUAUUGUUUAGCAGUUUAAUGUCGGUUGUCAAGUCACAGAGCCUGAACUAUGCUGAACCAACUUUCGCCCAAAAAGGCAAAAACGAGGAAGAAACUAACAGGUGGCCCAGCUAAAGUGGAAGAAUGGAAAGAAGUGGAAUACACUUGUAGGAUGGCAGUUAUUUCAAGAACCCUGUCUUGAGUUCUUAGAAGUUGCUAUAUUCGUGUUGAUGAAAAUCCAUUGGAUGUACCGCUUGAUGUGCUUGCAAGUCACUCCACUUCUCGUCCAGUAUACAUGAUGUACCCAGAGAAAGGAUAUAAACAUAAAUUACACAAAAGUAUUUGCUUAGAAAAUGGAAAAGUUAACAUGAACUGAAGCCUACCAUAUGUAUUAUAUGACAGUGUUGGUGUAUUGAAAACUGAAUGAGUGACAUUCAAUAAAUACACACUUGUUUGAAAUUUUUGUUUGUUUAU
This is a long non-coding RNA of Magallana angulata, 585 nucleotides long. RefSeq lists it as uncharacterized. NCBI's taxonomy places the organism in Eukaryota, Metazoa, Mollusca, Bivalvia, Ostreida, Ostreidae. The record is from RefSeq and is a predicted model, not a curated record. The transcript is spliced from 3 exons.